This 468-nucleotide ribosomal RNA is filed under the name uncultured bacterium. Its description in RNAcentral is "partial 16S ribosomal RNA". It matches the Rfam family "Bacterial small subunit ribosomal RNA", at positions 28 to 508 of the family's 1533-position model. The record is from RNAcentral.
GACGAACGCUGGCGGCGUGCUUAACACAUGCAAGUCGAACGGAAAGGCCUCUUUCGGGGGGUCCUCGAGUGGAGAACGGGUGAGUAACACGUGAGUAACCUGCCCUUGACUUUGGGAUAACUUCAGGAAACUGGGGCUAAUACCGGAUAGGAGCUCCUGCUGCAUGGUGGGGGUUGGAAAGUUUCGGCGGUUGGGGAUGGACUCGCGGCUUAUCAGCGUGUUGGUGGGGUAGUGGCUUACCAAGGCUUUGACGGGUAGCCGGCCUGUGAGGGUGACCGGCCACAUUCGGACUGAGAUACGGCCCAGACUCCUGCGGGAGGCAGCAGGGGGGAAUAGUGAAUAAUGGGUGGAAGGCUGAUGCAGGAACGCGGUGUGCGGGAUGAGGGCCGACGGGUUGUAAACCGCUUUCGCUCAUUACGAAGCUUGGUGUGACGGGAGCGGGUAAAGAAGCACCGGCUAACUACGGGC